AUUGAACGCUGGCGGCAUGCCUUACACAUGCAAGUCGAACGGCAGCACGGGUGCUUGCACCUGGUGGCGAGUGGCGAACGGGUGAGUAAUACAUCGGAACGUACCUUAUCGUGGGGGAUAACGCAGCGAAAGUUGCGCUAAUACCGCAUACGCCCUGAGGGGGAAAGCGGGGGACCGUAAGGCCUCGCGCGAUUAGAGCGGCCGAUGUCUGAUUAGCUUGUUGGUGAGGUAAAAGCUCACCAAGGCGAUGAUCAGUAGCUGGUCUGAGAGGACGAUCAGCCACACUGGGACUGAGACACGGCCCAGACUCCUACGGGAGGCAGCAGUGGGGAAUUUUGGACAAUGGGGGCAACCCUGAUCCAGCAAUGCCGCGUGAGUGAAGAAGGCCUUCGGGUUGUAAAGCUCUAUUGUCAGGGAAGAAACAGCAGAGAGAACACAGUCUGCGAAUGACGGUACCUGAAGAAUAAGCACCGGCUAACUACGUGCCAGCCGCCGCAGUAA
This 501-nucleotide ribosomal RNA is filed under the name uncultured bacterium. RNAcentral describes it as "partial 16S ribosomal RNA". It matches the Rfam family "Bacterial small subunit ribosomal RNA", at positions 29 to 523 of the family's 1533-position model. The record is from RNAcentral.